This 646-nucleotide ribosomal RNA is filed under the name uncultured bacterium. Its description in RNAcentral is "bacterial SSU rRNA". It matches the Rfam family "Bacterial small subunit ribosomal RNA", at positions 143 to 807 of the family's 1533-position model. The record is from RNAcentral.
AUAACAGUUAGAAAUGACUGCUAAUCCCGCAUAAGCGCACAGGGCCGCAUGGCCCGGUGUGAAAAACUCCGGUGGUAUGAGAUGGACUCGCGUCUGAUUAGCUAGUUGGUGAGGUAACGGCCCACCAAGGCGACGAUCAGUAGCCGGCCUGAGAGGGUGAACGGCCACAUUGGGACUGAGACACGGCCCAAACUCCUACGGGAGGCAGCAGUGGGGAAUAUUGCACAAUGGGGGAAACCCUGAUGCAGCGACGCCGCGUGAGUGAAGAAGUAUUUCGGUAUGUAAAGCUCUAUCAGCAGGGAAGAAAAUGACGGUACCUGACUAAGAAGCCCCGGCUAACUACGUGCCAGCAGCCGCGGUAAUACGUAGGGGGCAAGCGUUAUCCGGAUUUACUGGGUGUAAAGGGAGCGUAGACGGCUUUGCAAGUCUGACGUGAAACUCCGGGGCUCAACUCCGGAACUGCGUUGGAAACUGUAAGGCUUGAGUGCCGGAGAGGUAAGCGGAAUUCCUAGUGUAGCGGUGAAAUGCGUAGAUAUUAGGAGGAACACCAGUGGCGAAGGCGGCUUACUGGACGGCAACUGACGUUGAGGCUCGAAAGCGUGGGGAGCAAACAGGAUUAGAUACCCUGGUAGUCCACGCGGUAAAC